Molecule: ribosomal RNA, 940 nt
Filed under: Postia sericeomollis
Lineage: Eukaryota; Fungi; Basidiomycota; Agaricomycetes; Polyporales; Postiaceae
Description: LSU rRNA
Rfam family: Eukaryotic large subunit ribosomal RNA
Source: RNAcentral
AGCAUAUCAAUAAGCGGAGGAAAAGAAACUAACAAGGAUUCCCCUAGUAACUGCGAGUGAAGCGGGAAAAGCUCAAAUUUAAAAUCUGGCGGUCCUUGCGGCUGUCCGAGUUGUAAUCUGGAGAAGUGCUUUCCGUGCUGGACCGUGUACAAGUCUCUUGGAACAGAGCGUCGUAGAGGGUGAGAAUCCCGUCUUUGACACGGACUACCAGUGCUUUGUGAUGCGCUCUCAAAGAGUCGAGUUGUUUGGGAAUGCAGCUCAAAAUGGGUGGUAAAUUCCAUCUAAAGCUAAAUAUUGGCGAGAGACCGAUAGCGAACAAGUACCGUGAGGGAAAGAUGAAAAGAACUUUGGAAAGAGAGUUAAACAGUACGUGAAAUUGCUGAAAGGGAAACGCUUGAAGUCAGUCGCGUUGGCCGGAACUCAGCCUKGCUUUUGCUCGGUGCACUUUCUGGUCGACGGGUCAGCAUCAGUUUUGAUCGUCGGAUAAUGGCUGAGGGAAUGUGGCAUCUUCGGGUGUGUUAUAGCCCUUGGUCGCAUACGAUGGUUGGGACUGAGGAUCUCAGCACACCUUUAUGGUCGGGGUUCGCCCACGUUUGUGCUUAGGAUGCUGGCAUAAUGGCUUUAAGCGACCCGUCUUGAAACACGGACCAAGGAGUCUAACAUGCAUGCGAGUGUUUGGGUGGAAAACCCAAGCGCGUAAUGAAAGUGAAAGUUGAGACCUCUGUCGUGGAGGGCAUCGACGCCCGGACCAGACCUUCUGUGACGGCUCUGCGGUAGAGCAUGUAUGUUGGGACCCGAAAGAUGGUGAACUAUGCCUGAAUAGGGUGAAGCCAGAGGAAACUCUGGUGGAGGCUCGUAGCGAUUCUGACGUGCAAAUCGAUCGUCAAAUUUGGGUAUAGGGGCGAAAGACUAAUCCAACCAUCUAGUAGCUGGUUCCUGC